Daphnia pulex (common water flea) is the source of this 962-nucleotide long non-coding RNA. RefSeq lists it as uncharacterized. The transcript is spliced from 4 exons. The record is from RefSeq and is a predicted model, not a curated record. NCBI's taxonomy places the organism in Eukaryota, Metazoa, Arthropoda, Branchiopoda, Diplostraca, Daphniidae.
AGCAUAGGAAUGUGACAGCUUUGUCUGGGCUAAAUGCCCUACGAUAGAAUGGAAUUCUCUUGGAAAACUUUUUCUGCUCCUAAAUUACACAAUACACAUAAUAAUUUACUUCAAAAAUUGAAAACAGAUUUAGAUUUUGAGAAAUUUUAGCUGACGUUUUUGUGUGACCUAGGUGCUUGUGACAAUAGAUAUCAAAUGGGUCAAUCCAAUAAUGUUAACUUCCCUCAUCGUCAAAUCAUAGUAAAUCUUCAAGAUAUUGAUGCCUUCCCCAGAUCCAAUUCUUUGCUGCCUUCUCUUUUGCAGACAGCAGCAAAAUAAUGCUGCAACUUAAGAGCUUGUGGUGACUGCCACUUAGUUCUAAUUUAGGACAAUGUGACAUUGAGGGUAAUCCCUCACCAAUGUUAGAGUUGUUUGGAAACUGAAGAGAUAUUGCUGGAACUGAAGACUGAUAAUUUGUAUAGAUAUGUAGAUAAAUCACAAGCGCAUAUCUAGGCUCCCUUCUUUUCUGUGGCACCGUUUCCCUAACUAACCACUAACCAACACCCGCCGGUGGUCACUCACUCGCUUCGACAACCAGGAGGAAGGGAGUUCGCUGAUCGAACGGGGACUUGCAAGACGCAUGAUCCGAUGAAAACUUUAGGAGGGUCAUGAGUCUAAGCCGGAAGGCCACUGUGAUUAAUCGCUCUCGUAAAAACUGUUCCUCAACUCUUCGCUCUUUUUCCGGUUUCUCUUAAUCACGGCCGGGUAAUCUUCCUGGUCCAGUCAAUCAAGGCAGUGUCUCCCCCGCCUUGAUUGACUACAAUUUGAACCGGACGGUCAGUUUAUUGAAUUAUAAUGUAAUUUUGUUUUUCAUUUUGUAUUUCAUGUGAAUUUCUUUCGUACAUAAUGUAAUUUUAAAAUUUGAUAUAAAUGAAAACAACAAAUGAAUAUAAUUCAUUUCUUAUGAUUCUUACAUAAGAAAA